CUAGCUGUAGGUAUAAAGCCCUUUGGUAAGAAGAAGAGACAGAGGAAAAGGAAAAAGAGAAUCUGGGGUGGAGGAGACGGAAGAUAGAUUGAAUAAUAUCAAAUGGCGACAUCGAGGCUUCAAGCUCUGUGGAAUCACCCUGCCGGACCUAAAACCAUUCAUUUCUGGGCGCCAACGUUCAAGUGGGGAAUAAGCAUUGCUAACAUUGCAGACUUUGCUAAACCUACUGACAAAAUUUCCUACCCUCAACAGAUUGCUGUUACAUGCACUGGAGUUAUCUGGUCUCGCUACAGCAUGGUUAUCACUCCCAAAAACUGGAACCUCUUUAGCGUCAAUGUUGCUAUGGCUGGGACUGGCAUGUACCAGCUUGCUCGUAAAAUCAAAAACGAUUUUGCAUCUGAUGUGGAGCCUGUUGUUGCUAAAGAAUGAUUACGACGAAAAACAAGAAGAUGAAAACAUCAAAAGGAAAGAUGUGAUAUCAUCAUCAUCAUAUUGCUUGUGUUUGAAAAUCUAGUUUCAAGAUAUUUGAUUUUUCUUUUCACUCCCUGAUCGUAAGGGUCGAAUUACCAAAUAAGUUUUCUUUUUAAUACCCAAUAUCGAAACUUUGCGACAGCGAGCUCCUCCUGCGGGCUGCGGCUGUGAUAAGAACCUUUUAAGCUCUUCUUCCCUUUCUAUACAACUUGUUUUUAGAUAA
This is an RNA transcript of Brassica napus (rape), 694 nucleotides long. It is a transcript of the gene named mitochondrial pyruvate carrier 4-like, with no coding region annotated. The transcript has 6 exons. The record is from RefSeq and is a predicted model, not a curated record. NCBI's taxonomy places the organism in Eukaryota, Viridiplantae, Streptophyta, Magnoliopsida, Brassicales, Brassicaceae.